This 493-nucleotide ribosomal RNA is filed under the name uncultured bacterium. RNAcentral's name for it is "partial 16S ribosomal RNA". It matches the Rfam family "Bacterial small subunit ribosomal RNA", at positions 29 to 507 of the family's 1533-position model. The record is from RNAcentral.
AGUGAACGCUGGCGGUAGGCCUAACACAUGCAAGUCGAACGGCAGCACAGUAAGAGCUUGCUCUUACGGGUGGCGAGUGGCGGACGGGUGAGGAAUACAUCGGAAUCUACUUUUUUCGUGGGGGAUAAGGUGGGGAAACUUACGCUAUUACCGCUUACGACCUACGGGUGAAACCAGGGGAUCUUCGGCCCUUGCGCGAUUGAAUGAGCCGAUGUCGGAUUAGCUAGUUGGCGGGGUAAAGGCCCACCAAGGCGACGAUCCGUAGCUGGUCUGAGAGGAUGAUCAGCCACACUGGAACUGAGACACGGUCCAGACUCCUACGGGAGGCAGCAGUGGGGAAUAUUGGACAAUGGGCGCAAGCCUGAUCCAGCCAUACCGCGUGGGUGAAGAAGGCCUUCGGGUUGUAAAGCCCUUUUGUUGGGAAAGAAAAGCAGCAGGUUAAUACCCCGCUGUUCUGACGGUACCCAAAGAAUAAGCACCGGCUAACUUCGUG